Molecule: small RNA, 110 nt
Filed under: Marmota monax (woodchuck)
Lineage: Eukaryota; Metazoa; Chordata; Mammalia; Rodentia; Sciuridae
Source: RNAcentral
GCCAGGUGCAGUGGCGCAUGCCUGUAAUCCCAAUGGCUCAGGAGGCUGAGGCAGGAGGAUCGCAAGUUCAAAGCCAGCCUCAGCAAAAGCAAGGUGAGAGUCUGUCUCUA